Molecule: ribosomal RNA, 751 nt
Filed under: uncultured bacterium
Lineage: Bacteria
Description: bacterial SSU rRNA
Rfam family: Bacterial small subunit ribosomal RNA
Source: RNAcentral
CACCNGUGGCGAAAGCGGCUCUCUGGUCUGUCACUGACGCUGAGGCUCGGAAGCGUGGGUAGCGAACAGGAUUAGAUACCCUGGUAGUNCACGCCGUAAACGAUGAGUGCUAGGUGUUAGGCCCUUUCCGGGGCUUAGUGCCGGAGCUAACGCAAUAAGCACUCUGCCUGGGGAGUACGACCGCAAGGUUGAAACUCAAAGGAAUUGACGGGGGCCCGCACAAGCGGUGGAGCAUGUGGUUUAAUUCGAAGCAACGCGAAGAACCUUACCAGGUCUUGGCAUCCCGAUGCUAUUCUUAGAGAUAGGAAGUUACUUCGGUACAUCGGAGACAGGUGGUGCAUGGUUGUCGUCAGCUCGUGUCGUGAGAUGUUGGGUUAAGUCCCGCAACGAGCGCAACCCUUAUUGUUAGUUGCCAUCAUUAAGUUGGGCACUCUAGCGAGACUGCCGGUAAUAAACCGGAGGAAGGUGGGGAUGACGUCAAAUCAUCAUGCCCCUUAUGACCUGGGCUACACACGUGCUACAAUGGUCGGUACAACGAGUUGCGAGCCGGUGACGGCAAGCUAAUCUCUGAAAGCCGAUCUCAGUUCGGAUUGGAGGCUGCAACUCGCCUCCAUGAAGUCGGAAUCGCUAGUAAUCGCGGAUCAGCACGCCGCGGUGAAUACGUUCCCGGGCCUUGUACACACCGCCCGUCACACCACGAGAGUUUGUAACACCCGAAGCCGGUGAGGUAACCUUUUAGGGGCCAGCCGCC